Molecule: ribosomal RNA, 427 nt
Filed under: uncultured bacterium
Lineage: Bacteria
Description: partial 16S ribosomal RNA
Rfam family: Bacterial small subunit ribosomal RNA
Source: RNAcentral
UGGGGAAUAUUGCACAAUGGGCGCAAGCCUGAUGCAGCCAUGCCGCGUGUAUGAAGAAGGCCUUCGGGUUGUAAAGUACUUUCAGCGGGGAGGAAGGCGAUAAGGUUAAUAACCUUGUCGAUUGACGUUACCCGCAGAAGAAGCACCGGCUAACUCCGUGCCAGCAGCCGCGGUAAGACGGAGGGUGCAAACGUUAAUCGGAAUUACUGGGCGUAAAGCGCACGCAGGCGGUCUGUCAAGUCGGAUGUGAAAUCCCCGGGCUCACCCUGGGAACUGCAUUCGAAACUGGCAGGCUAGAGUCUUGUAGAGGGGGGUAGAAUUCCAGGUGUAGCGGUGAAAUGCGUAGAGAUCUGGAGGAAUACCGGUGGCGAAGGCGGCCCCCUGGACAAAGACUGACGCUCAGGUGCGAAAGCGUGGGGAGCAAACA